GUGUUCACAGCCUUCUGUUUUGGCAAUAAUGGUGUCAGAGAACAAACCUUGACACUUAACUUUUUCCUUACUAACUCAUACUCCAAUAUAAAUCAGUAGCACAGCGAGCUUUGGAUUCAUUAUGCAAACUGCUUCUGGCUCUCCACAAAUCCUUGCCCGAACGUAGGGGGGCAAGGAAUAAAAGGUCCUGCCUCCCCACACCGGCUAUCACUUGGGAGAAACUCUGUAAGGGAACCAUAGUCUUGAACUCUCUCUCACCACCACUAAAUCCACAGUAUUUUCAACACUGAUGUUUGUGGUCAGUCAAAUUUGACUAAGUGUGCAAAUUAGCUAAUUAAGUAACUUGCAUAAUACGCAACACAUGCAGUUGCAUAAAACUUAGCAGUUACGAUUAAAUGAAUUCUGUUCUACAACCCAGAGCUUAGAUAAGCCCCCAGCAACAAUUUUUCAGGGCCAAAAAAAAAAAAAAAAUUAAAAAAUCCACAAUUGCCAGCUGGAAUGUGUAUUUAAUUCAGCACUAGAUCAUAUAAUGGCUAAGAAAAA
Molecule: long non-coding RNA, 543 nt
Organism: Dermochelys coriacea (leatherback sea turtle)
Lineage: Eukaryota; Metazoa; Chordata; Testudines; Dermochelyidae
Exons: 2
Source: RefSeq, a predicted model, not a curated record